RNAcentral lists this ribosomal RNA (369 nucleotides) under Triticum aestivum (bread wheat). RNAcentral describes it as "partial small subunit ribosomal RNA". The record is from RNAcentral. Lineage: Eukaryota; Viridiplantae; Streptophyta; Magnoliopsida; Poales; Poaceae.
AUGAUUCCCUUUCUUCCGUGCCUCCAAUGGAGGCUACCAGCGGCAGGAACGCCACGAGACAUCCUGGCAUUGCAGAUGCAGAGCUUUCUAGGGGCGGCCUGUUUGUUUCCGGCCGCGCCGAUGUCAACUACCUUGAUCCACUGUGACUGUCCCCAACCACGCUCAACUCCCCAUUUUUGUACUUGGGAUGAUUUGGUGCAAGGUAUAGAGGAGCAUGAUCAAGCAUGGCUAAAUAUAUUUGCAAGUAGAGAAGUUCUUGAGUCACACACUAAAGGAAGAGAGAUAAGCUUUUUCUCUUUGUUGUAUCAAAUCUAUUUGGAAGUGCUAAUUGAUGAAAUGUAUGUAGCAUUAGUAAUAGUUUUUUCAUGA